Tachysurus fulvidraco (yellow catfish) is the source of this 1871-nucleotide RNA transcript. It is a transcript of the gene named dihydroorotate dehydrogenase, with no coding region annotated. The transcript has 9 exons. NCBI's taxonomy places the organism in Eukaryota, Metazoa, Chordata, Actinopteri, Siluriformes, Bagridae. The record is from RefSeq and is a predicted model, not a curated record.
AUUUUUUUUAUUCUAUUAUUUUGAACGCCUUUUUAAGAGGCUCUAAACAUCGCGAGAACGUGUGAGAGUUGGAAUAAAUCACGUGGACGCGCCUCACGUGAGUGGCUAUGGCGGGACAGCUGAAGGAGCGUCUGAAGGACGCUGUAAAGAUCCUGGGCUGUGGCAGCACCUUAUUCCUGGGAUACCUCACUGCAACCGGGGACGAGCGAUUCUAUUCUACUGCCCUCAUGCCGGUGCUGCAAAGACUCGUGGGAGCAGAAACAGCUCAUGUCAUGGCUGUGCGCUUCCUCAGCUUGGGCCUGGUGCCUAGAAAUGGCUACAAGGAUCCGGCAUCGCUGGAGGUAAAUGUGCUGGGACGAAGGUUUGAGAAUCCUCUUGGAAUCGCAGCAGGCUUCGAUAAGCACGGCGAGGCCGUGGAUGGUCUGUAUCGCCUCGGCUUCGGCUUUGUCGAGGUAGGCACGGUCACCCCAAAACCUCAGGAGGGGAAUCCGAAACCCCGUGUGUUCAGACUCGAGGCUGACCAGGCGGUUAUUAACAGAUACGGUUUUAACAGCUGCGGCAUUGUAGCUGUUCGGGAAAGGUUAAAAGCCAGGGAAGGAGUUCAGUCUGAGCUUACAAAAGCAGGCAAACCGCUAGGCAUCAACCUGGGGAAGAACAAGCUGUCCACUGAUGCCGUGGCUGAUUAUCUAGAGGGAGUGAGGAUGCUCGGCCCCCUCGCUGACUACCUGGUCGUGAACGUGAGCAGCCCGAACACUCCAGGCCUCAGAGACCUGCAGGGGAAGAAAGAACUGCACCAUCUGCUGGAGAAGGUACUGAAAGCAAGAGACACUCUGCAAGUGGCAAAUCGACCACCAGUAAUGGUUAAGAUUGCUCCAGAUCUCUCCCAGCAGGACAAGCAGGACAUUGCAGAGGUCAUCACAGAGCUCGGUGUGGAUGGAUUAAUAGUCUCCAACACUACGGUGUCCAGGCCAGAGACCCUGCAGGACAACAACAGGAACGAGACGGGGGGUCUGAGUGGGCAGCCGCUUAAAGAGCUGUCCACUCGCACAGUACGGGAGAUGUACAGCUUAACCAGAGUGUUUUCAUUUGUGUGUUCUAGGGAAGGUGCCCAUUGUCGGUGUAGGAGGCGUGGCUAGUGGACAGGACGCCCUGGAUAAGAUCCGUGCCGGAGCGUCUCUGGUUCAGCUCUACACAGCGCUGGUGUAUCAGGGUCCUCCGAUCGUUACUAAGAUCAAAAGGGAACUGCAUGAGCUCUUAACGGAACAAGGAUUCAGCAGCGUAUCAGAAGCAGUAGGUGCUGAUCACAGGACGUCUGAUGGUGUGGCGUCGUCCUACACAGAAGGAUCUACGGUGAAUUAGGCCCAAAAACAGCUCACGUGCAACUCUCAGACUGGUGUAAGAUGGUGGAGUCUGGUUUCCCACAUCAGAGCUUCUUCUUUACAUGACUUGAUUUGGGGCUUCAGAGAACUGUCACAUGACCCGGAGAUGGACCCUUUUGGAUGUUGGACAGCGGAAUUGGAGAGUUUGAUGAAAGUCAAGUCAAGCAUCAGCGCUGCGACUUCGAGAUGAAGCGCAAACAGCGUUGUGAUGAACAGAGACUUAAUCCUGACAAGUAAACAAGCUAAACGUGGAGCAGAUGUGACUUUUCAGAUUUUAAUGAUGUAUAAUGAUAUAAUAAAUAUCGUUUGAACAAUUGUCCCACUUAAGAGGUUGCCAUUCACCCUGAAUUUCCAAUUUUUGGAAUAAAAUAAUUCAGUAGGGUUGCCAGGUCCAGUUUAAACGUGUAAUUAAAAGAAAAACUAAAUAAUGAACAACAUAAAUCUUCAAGAGAUUGAUAUUUAUUUUGAAAUAAAAUUCACUUUAAUAGAGUU